CCUACGGGAGGCAGCAGUGAGGAAUAUUGGUCAAUGGACGAGAGUCUGAACCAGCCAAGUAGCGUGAAGGAUGACUGCCCUAUGGGUUGUCAACUUCUUUUAUAUGGGAAUAAAACAGGGUAUGCAUACCCUCUUGUAUGUAACAUAUGAAUAAGGAUCGGCUAACUCCGUGCCAGCAGCCGCGGUAAUACGGAGGAUCCGAGCGUUAUCCGGAUUUAUUGGGUUUAAAGGGAGCGUAGGUGGAUUGUUAAGUCAGUUGUGAAAGUUUGCGGCUCAACCGUAAAAUUGCAGUUGAAACUGGCAGUCUUGAGUACAGUAGAGGUGGGCGGAAUUCGUGGUGUAGCGGUGAAAUGCUUAGAUAUCACGAAGAACUCCGAUUGCGAAGGCAGCUCACUGGACUGCAACUGACACUGAUGCUCGAAAGCGUGGGUAGCAAACAGGAUUAGAUACCCGAGUAGUC
RNAcentral lists this ribosomal RNA (460 nucleotides) under uncultured bacterium. Its description in RNAcentral is "partial 16S ribosomal RNA". It matches the Rfam family "Bacterial small subunit ribosomal RNA", at positions 338 to 795 of the family's 1533-position model. The record is from RNAcentral.